CCUACGGGUGGCAGCAGUGAGGAAUAUUGGUCAAUGGGCGAGAGGCUGAACCAGCCAAGUCGCGUGAGGGAAGACGGCCCCACGGGUGGUAAACCUCUUUUGUCGGGGAGCAAAGCGAGUCACGAGUGACUCAAUGAGAGUACCCGAAGAAAAAGCAUCGGCUAACUCCGUGCCAGCAGCCGCGGUAAUACGGAGGAUGCGAGCGUUAUCCGGAUUUAUUGGGUUUAAAGGGUGGGCAGGCGGCGGUGCAAGUCAGCGGUAAAAUUGCGGGGCUCAACCCCGUACUGCCGUUGAAACUGGAUGCCUUGAGUGGGCGAGAAGUAUGCGGAAUGCGUGGUGUAGCGGUGAAAUGCAUAGAUAUCACGCAGAACUCCGAUUGCGAAGGCAGCGUACCGGCGCGAAACUGACGCUGAUGCACGAAAGCGUGGGUAUCGAACAGGAUUAGAUACCCUUGUAGUC
RNAcentral lists this ribosomal RNA (459 nucleotides) under uncultured bacterium. Its description in RNAcentral is "partial 16S ribosomal RNA". It matches the Rfam family "Bacterial small subunit ribosomal RNA", at positions 338 to 795 of the family's 1533-position model. The record is from RNAcentral.